Molecule: long non-coding RNA, 544 nt
Filed under: Homo sapiens (human)
Lineage: Eukaryota; Metazoa; Chordata; Mammalia; Primates; Hominidae
Description: HSALNT0308305
Source: RNAcentral
UGAGGCACCCCUGUUGCAAGGCCUGUGAAGGGGUCAAGGAAAAUUUCCUGUUCAAAACCAUGCAUAGGAAUUCUAAUUACGUAAGUGAAGAAAAAGUAAAAUUCUGUAACUUUUCUUCUCUAAAGUAGCUUUUCUAAUUUAUUCCAAAACAAAUAUCUUUAUAGUUCAGAAAUAUUAUCUUGGACAAAUAUAGGGGUGAAGUGUAUCUGGCAGGUCUUGGUGGCAUGCAGAAAUAAGGUGUAUUUUCACAGAGGUAAUUCAUUGUUUUUCUAAACUUUCUGCAGUUAUAAGCAAAGAAAAUUUGAAGCCUCUAUUAAAAAAUCAUUCCUUCAACACAUCACUGACCAGGAACGUAAAUGGAUGAGCAGUAAGGACGCAAUGGAUUAAGCUCCUUUACAAGGGAAAGAUUUCUGAACUCCUCAAGGUAAUUGCAGCAAAGCACAUCAUCUGAUCUUGAGAACCCAGCAGCCAUUCAGAGGAGCUCCAACCUACAUCCUCGUGCCAUUCCCCACCUCCCGCCACUGUCAGUGGCUUUGAGCAGCUC